GGAGUGGGCCGGGCGGUCGCCGGCCGGUCUCGCAGGUGGGCAUCUCCCCGCCCCCCGCGGGUCUGGCGGGAGGAAAGUCCGGGCUCCACAGGGCACGAUGGUGGGUAACGCCCACCGGCCGCAAGGCCAGGGAAAGUGCAACAGAAAGCAAACCGCCUCGCGGCUGAACCCCGCGCGGUAAGGGUGAAACGGUGGGGUAAGAGCCCACCAGCAGGCCGGGCGACCGGCCUGGCUAGGCAAACCCCAUCGGGAGCAAGGCCAAGUAGAGAGGAAGGCGGCUGCUACCGGCCAACCACGGCCAGCAGCCGCCGCGGACCGGCCCGGGCCGUUCACCACUCUCGGGUAGGCUGCUCGAGGGGCCGGGUAACCGGCCUCCUAGAGAAAUGACCGCCAACUCGCCCAAGGCGAGUUACAGAACCCGGCUUACAGGCCCACUCCGGAC
Molecule: RNase P RNA, 442 nt
Filed under: Planctomycetales bacterium
Lineage: Bacteria; Pseudomonadati; Planctomycetota; Planctomycetia; Planctomycetales
Description: RNase P RNA component class A
Rfam family: Bacterial RNase P class A
About the family: Ribonuclease P (RNase P) is a ubiquitous endoribonuclease, found in archaea, bacteria and eukarya as well as chloroplasts and mitochondria. Its best characterised activity is the generation of mature 5'-ends of tRNAs by cleaving the 5'-leader elements of precursor-tRNAs.
Source: RNAcentral